AUAUCAGUAAAUAAUUUAAAAAUUAUAUUAAAAAAUUAUACAAAUAGUUCAUAAAAAUUAAAAAAAUUAAUAACAUGUGUAACACCCAAUUAUUGCCCGGUCCAGUAAAUGCCAAAAAACAGAUAAAAUAAUAAAAUAAAAACAGUCCAUAGUGUCCGAUUACAAACGGGCUACAAGGCCCAAACCAAAACAAAGCAGUGGCCCAAAUUACAAUGGCCCAAAACGGAUGAAACCCUAGGGUUUCUAAUCUUCAACAGUGCCACAACCGAGCCAAGCCAAGCUCCGGAUCUUCACGAUCUGCACCUGCAAACACAAGAAAGGAAAGAAAAUCAAAUCAAAUCAGAUCGAAUCAAACAAAACUUGUUUCUUGAUUUCUUUUAUUUUUCAUUCGGCUAUAAAAAGCCAUUCCAAUACAUUGUAAGGGAGGGGAUAUGGAAAUCAGAAAUAAAAAACUACUACUUUCGCAAUAUAGAGAGCAAAAAAACCGAAUCAAAGGUUGUCACUUGCAUUUUUUCUGUUUUAUGUAUUUAUUUUUAUCGUUUAUAUAUAUAAAUAAUAUAAGAGGAAAGGAAGAACCUGGGUUUUAAGCCCUAAUCGCCGUGAACGGUCGAGGAACCGUCUCCGAGGAAAGACGGUCGGAAAUCGAAAAGUCUCUCGGGCUUUUGAGGUGCUUCCACGAAUAUUUGGAGGGUUUUGUGCCCGGAUUUACGCUUAGAGGCCUCGAGGGAACCAGAUCUGAGGGUUUUUUUUUCAGCCACCGCAUACGGCGGUGCCGGUGCCGGAGAUCGGCGGCCGGCGCGGUGGUUGGUGACCAGCCGAUUACCGACCGAUGGCCGGAGGACGGAGGAGUUGAGAGAGUUUUAAAAGGUUUUUUUGGUUUUUUUUC
Molecule: long non-coding RNA, 886 nt
Filed under: Gossypium barbadense (sea-island cotton)
Lineage: Eukaryota; Viridiplantae; Streptophyta; Magnoliopsida; Malvales; Malvaceae
Description: long non-coding RNA (GBAR_LNC020695)
Source: RNAcentral